GGUGAGAUGGCCGAGCGGUCUAAGGCGCCAGACUAAGGAUCAAAGCAGUUGCUGCUUGAGUCGUGGGAUUUGAACCCACUGAUAUCUGGUCCUCCGGGGCGUGGGUUCGAAUCCCACUCUCAUCA
Asterophora parasitica is the source of this 125-nucleotide non-coding RNA. Lineage: Eukaryota; Fungi; Basidiomycota; Agaricomycetes; Agaricales; Lyophyllaceae. The record is from the annotation of a GenBank genome assembly.